Molecule: unclassified non-coding RNA, 306 nt
Filed under: plant metagenome
Description: partial contains 5.8S ribosomal RNA, internal transcribed spacer 2, and large subunit ribosomal RNA
Rfam family: 5.8S ribosomal RNA (bases 1-105)
Source: RNAcentral
GAAAUGCGAUAAGUAAUGUGAAUUGCAGAAUUCAGUGAAUUAUCGAAUCUUUGAACGCACAUUGCGCCCGCCAGUAUUCUGGCGGGCAUGCCUGUCCGAGCGUCAUUUCAACCAUCAAGCCCCCGGGCUUGUGUUGGGGACCUGCGGCUGCCCGCAGGCCCUGAAAACCAGUGGCGGGCUCGCUGUCACACCGAGCGUAGUAGCAAUCACCUCGCUCAGGGCGUGCUGCGGGUUCCGGCCGUUAAACAGCCUUACAAAACCCAAGGUUGACCUCGGAUCAGGUAGGAAGACCCGCUGAACUUAAGC